UACAGAGGUCUCAAGCGUUGUUCGGAUUCAUUGGGCGUAAAGGGUGCGUAGGUGGCGCUGUAAGUCAGGUGUGAAAUUUCGGAGCUUAACUCCGAAACUGCAUUUGAUACUGCGGUGCUUGAGGACUGGAGAGGAGACUGGAAUUCACGGUGUAGCAGUGAAAUGCGUAGAUAUCGUAAGGAAGACCAGUGGCGAAGGCGGGUCUCUGGACAGUUCCUGACACUGAGGCACGAAGGCCAGGGGAGCAAACGGG
RNAcentral lists this ribosomal RNA (253 nucleotides) under uncultured bacterium. RNAcentral describes it as "partial 16S ribosomal RNA". It matches the Rfam family "Bacterial small subunit ribosomal RNA", at positions 524 to 776 of the family's 1533-position model. The record is from RNAcentral.